Molecule: ribosomal RNA, 253 nt
Filed under: uncultured bacterium
Lineage: Bacteria
Description: partial 16S ribosomal RNA
Rfam family: Bacterial small subunit ribosomal RNA
Source: RNAcentral
UACAGAGGGGGCAAGCGUUGUUCGGAAUUACUGGGCGUAAAGGGCGCGUAGGCGGCCUGCUAAGUCGAACGUGAAAUCCCCGAGCUCAACUCGGGAACUGCGUCCGAUACUGGCAGGCUUGAAUCCGGGAGAGGGAUGCGGAAUUCCUGGUGUAGCGGUGAAAUGCGCAGAUAUCAGGAGGAACACCGGUGGCGAAGGCGGUUCUCUGGGAAUGUCCUGACGCUGAGGAGCGAAAGUGUGGGGAGCGAACAGG